RNAcentral lists this long non-coding RNA (264 nucleotides) under Nicotiana benthamiana. Its description in RNAcentral is "long non-coding RNA (NBEN_LNC029760)". The record is from RNAcentral. Lineage: Eukaryota; Viridiplantae; Streptophyta; Magnoliopsida; Solanales; Solanaceae.
CCCGCAUCUUCUCAUCCACCGGGGCCACCCCUACCUUCUGUCGAAUAACUUCAUUCUUAAUCUUAUCUAGCCUGGUGUGCCCACACAUCCACCGAAGCAUCCUCAUCUCCGCAACCUUCUUUCUCUGAACAUGGGAGUUCUUCACGGGCCAGCACUCCGCCCCAUAGAACAUCGCAGGUCUAACCAUGGCUCUGUAGAAUUUCCCCUUGAGUUUGAGUAGAAUUUUCUUGUCACACAGGACCCCUGAAGCAAGCCUCCACUUUG